GGGGAUGAUUGAUUCGACGAGAACUGUACAUUUACAAACCGCAAGCCGACAUUGAUUCAUUGUCGUUAAACAGAAUCAAACAAUACAAGCAAAUAAAUCGCUUGAACAGCGAUUAGCUGCGGCUGAAAAGUUGCUCGCGCAAUUUAAGGCCAAUGCUUUCGCUUCUCGACAACCCGCUUUGCUUUACGCAUAAGGGUCAAGAGCAUUCAUGCUAUUUCUCAUCCGGUGGAAAUACAUGGGUGGAAAAACAGCCGGAUCAUCAGGUUUGAUGAGGUAACCGCUUUCUCGCNNNNNNNNNCGGCGACAUAAAGAGGAAUCAUUUGUAAGCUUGUUUACCCUCCGAAUCGGAGGGUUUAAAACGGUUGUAGAUUACAUUCUUGGACGGGAGUUCACUACUCCCCAUCUCCACCG
This 411-nucleotide transfer-messenger RNA is filed under the name Candidatus Roizmanbacteria bacterium RIFCSPLOWO2_01_FULL_40_14. It matches the Rfam family "transfer-messenger RNA". From Rfam's summary of the family: Bacterial tmRNA, also known as 10Sa RNA or SsrA, is named for its dual tRNA and mRNA-like properties. Its role is to liberate the mRNA from a stalled ribosome. Lineage: Bacteria; Candidatus Roizmaniibacteriota. The record is from RNAcentral.